UGCCCUCGGGGGCGUCGUCGGCCAGGACGUCCUUGGCCUGGUGGGCCGAGACAUCAACGAGCGUGAUCGUCUCCCCGUUGGAGGCGGCCA
RNAcentral lists this transfer RNA (90 nucleotides) under Actinomyces naeslundii. RNAcentral's name for it is "tRNA-Thr(ggt)". Lineage: Bacteria; Bacillati; Actinomycetota; Actinomycetes; Actinomycetales; Actinomycetaceae. The record is from RNAcentral.